GUGCUUUGCUUUCGGCCGCACAUAUACUAAAAUUGGAAUGAUACAGAGAAGAUUAGCAUGGCCCGUGCAAGGAUGAUAGCGCAAAUUCGUGAAGUGUUCCAUAUUUAA
This is a small nuclear RNA of Suncus etruscus (white-toothed pygmy shrew), 108 nucleotides long. NCBI's taxonomy places the organism in Eukaryota, Metazoa, Chordata, Mammalia, Eulipotyphla, Soricidae. The record is from RefSeq and is a predicted model, not a curated record.